RNAcentral lists this ribosomal RNA (446 nucleotides) under uncultured bacterium. RNAcentral's name for it is "partial 16S ribosomal RNA". It matches the Rfam family "Bacterial small subunit ribosomal RNA", at positions 338 to 795 of the family's 1533-position model. The record is from RNAcentral.
CCUACGGGUGGCAGCAGUCGAGAAUCAUUCACAAUGGGGGAAACCCUGAUGGUGCGACGCCGCGUGGGGGAAUGAAGGUCUUCGGAUUGUAAACCCCUGUCAUGUGGGAGCAAAUUAAAAAGAUAGUACCACAAGAGGAAGAGACGGCUAACUCUGUGCCAGCAGCCGCGGUAAUACAGAGGUCUCAAGCGUUGUUCGGAAUCACUGGGCGUAAAGCGUGCGUAGGCUGUUUCGUAAGUCGUGUGUGAAAGGCGCGGGCUCAACCCGCGGACGGAACAUGAUACUGCGAGACGAGAGGAAUGGAGGGGGAACCGGAAUUCUCGGUGUAGCAGUGAAAUGCGUAGAUAUCGAGAGGAACACUCGUGGCGAAGGCGGGUUCCUGGACAUUAACUGACGCUGAGGCACGAAGGCCAGGGGAGCGAAAGGGAUUAGAUACCCUAGUAGUC